GAACUCAGGGCUUCAGAUAGAAAUAAUAAUAUUUUUGUCCGAUAAAAAUUUUAGCAUUUUGAAGACCAGAAUUCAUUUACAAAUUCUAUUAAAAUUGACAGAAUUUUGGAUUAGUUAUAACAAAUUUUAUGGAAUUCUAAAUUUAAAUUUACAAACGAAUUUUGAUUUAUACCAAACAUUAUAGAAAUGGAUUUAUAAAUGAAUUCCGCAAAAUAUUGUGGAAUUUAUUUAUACCAAACAGGGUCUAACAACCAAUAAAAAACAGAAAUAACUCAGGGCAUUGAGCUGUUUGAGCUAAGGAAUUCCAUUCUAACAUCUGCCCCAGUACCCCUGAUUCUUUGUAACACAGAUAAAACAUGAACGCAAAGGAAACCAUAACCACAGCUGAAUCCUUUACUGACAUUAUUUUGUUUUAGUGAAGACAACAGCAUUUGUCAAUCAAACCUAUUUCCAGGAAGAGCAAACAAAUAAGAAGAAACAAAGGCCUCAUCUCAGCUAAUUGUGGCUAUGUUUAAGUAGUAAAAUCAGACAAAACAUUACCAUAAGGUAUUAUCAAACAAUAAUCCAACAGAUCACCAGCUAAAUUUUUAAUUCAAGAUUCACGGGACUUCACAAUAAAGUUCUGGCGACUGAUUGGAUUCAUCACAACUGGUGGCCCUGCAGUACGAGGCCAUGCCUGGAAUUUCUUGUCAGUUUCUUCCCACCAUUCCUUGCUUGCAACAGUUUUAGGGGUGGUGCCUCCAAAUAUCUUCUUGUCAGCAAUAAGUUGGUCACUUACAUAUGCAAUUGCAAAUGAUCCAAGUACACCAGCAAUGAUAUACUUGGCUGCCAUGCUCAAAAUCAAUCUGCUAGUGUUUGUCAGAAACCAAACAGAGUAUUAUGAAAUCUGAGAAUGAAACCCUAGGGGAGAGAGAGAGAGAGAGAG
RNAcentral lists this unclassified non-coding RNA (925 nucleotides) under Hevea brasiliensis (rubber tree). The record is from RNAcentral. Lineage: Eukaryota; Viridiplantae; Streptophyta; Magnoliopsida; Malpighiales; Euphorbiaceae.